UGCUCCAUUUUUUCCCCAACU
RNAcentral lists this non-coding RNA (21 nucleotides) under Caenorhabditis elegans. Lineage: Eukaryota; Metazoa; Nematoda; Chromadorea; Rhabditida; Rhabditidae. The record is from RNAcentral.